Molecule: long non-coding RNA, 298 nt
Filed under: Mytilus galloprovincialis (Mediterranean mussel)
Lineage: Eukaryota; Metazoa; Mollusca; Bivalvia; Mytilida; Mytilidae
Source: RNAcentral
CAAAUCUAUAAGAGGUGGUGGGAUAUUAUGUGUAGGCUUCUUCUCAUGGAUUAAUAACUCUCUCCUUUAACCGUAAUCUGACAGGAUUUAAAUGAAACUUGCACCAAAUCUGUAGAACUUCUCUGUUGUUUACUUCCUAUUUUAUUGUCUGAUUUGAAUGCGUUUUAGAAUUUCCAUAGCCGCCUUAUCUUUUCAAAUGGGAUUGAGAGUGAGGGUAUGAAUAUGAGGGUUUACUCAAAGCCUUUUUUUGUUUUUGUUUAUUUUAGUUUGAUUUAUUAGAAAUUAUGCUUACAGCGGG